UACGUAGGGGGCAAGCGUUGUCCGGAUUUAUUGGGCGUAAAGAGCGUGUAGGCGGCCAGGUAGGUCAGCUGUGAAAACUCGAGGCUCAACCUCGAGACGCCGGUUGAAACCAUCUGGCUAGAGUCCGGAAGAGGAGAGUGGAAUUCCUGGUGUAGCGGUGAAAUGCGCAGAUAUUAGGAAGAACACCAGUGGCGAAGGCGGCUCACUGGCCCGGUACUGACGCUCAUGUGCGAAAGCGUGGGGAGCAAACAGG
Molecule: ribosomal RNA, 253 nt
Filed under: uncultured bacterium
Lineage: Bacteria
Description: partial 16S ribosomal RNA
Rfam family: Bacterial small subunit ribosomal RNA
Source: RNAcentral